GUAAAGGCAUAAGGGAGCUUGACUGCGAGAUCUACAAAUCGAGCAGGUGCGAAAGCAGGUCUUAGUGAUCCGGUGGUUCUGGAUGGAAGGGCCAUCGCUCAUCGGAUAAAAGGUACGCCGGGGAUAACAGGCUGAUCGCGCCCGAGAGUUCAUAUCGACGGCGCGGUUUGGCACCUCGAUGUCGGCUCAUCGCAUCCUGGGGCUGAAGUUGGUCCCAAGGGUUUGGCUGUUCGCCAAUUAAAGCGGUACGCGAGCUGGGUUCAGAACGUCGUGAGACAGUUCGGUCCCUAUCUUCCGUGGGCGCAGGAAAUUUGAGAGGAUCUGUCCUUAGUACGAGAGGACCGGGAUGGACGAACCUCUAGUGCACCAGUUAUCCCUCCAGGGGUAUGGCUGGGUAGCCAUGUUCGGAUCAGAUAACCGCUGAAAGCAUAUAAGCGGGAAACUGACCUCAAGAUAAGAUUUCCCUCCCGUGUAAACGGGGUAAGACUCCUUCGAGACUAGGAGGUUGAUAGGCGGCAGGUAGAAGCGUUGUAAGACGUUUAGCCGAGCCGUACUAAUCAGUCGAGCGGCUUGACCAUAUUU
Molecule: ribosomal RNA, 582 nt
Filed under: Deltaproteobacteria bacterium RIFCSPLOWO2_12_FULL_50_11
Lineage: Bacteria; Deltaproteobacteria
Description: bacterial LSU rRNA
Rfam family: Bacterial large subunit ribosomal RNA
Source: RNAcentral